This is a long non-coding RNA of Notothenia coriiceps (black rockcod), 211 nucleotides long. RefSeq lists it as uncharacterized. The record is from RefSeq and is a predicted model, not a curated record. Lineage: Eukaryota; Metazoa; Chordata; Actinopteri; Perciformes; Nototheniidae. The transcript is spliced from 3 exons.
AGCCAACGACGAGGAGAGCAGCAUGGUGUCCAACGAGCCUGAUGUUGAAUACACUGAGGUGGUGCAUCCCCGUCCACUGGAUCCUGCCAGAGUCCCACCAAAAAAAGGCACGGACACAGUGUACAGCGAGCUCCAAAACUCUCCACAUGGGGCCACUGACCAUCAUGACUAUGUAAGUAGAAAGUUGAACCAUUACAUUAUUUUUUAUCAU